This 301-nucleotide ribosomal RNA is filed under the name uncultured bacterium. RNAcentral describes it as "partial 16S ribosomal RNA". It matches the Rfam family "Bacterial small subunit ribosomal RNA", at positions 509 to 807 of the family's 1533-position model. The record is from RNAcentral.
CAGCAGCCGCGGUAAUACGUAGGGUGCAAGCGUUAAUCGGAAUUACUGGGCGUAAAGCGUGCGCAGGCGGUUUGUUAAGACAGAUGUGAAAUCCCCGGGCUCAACCUGGGACCUGCAUUUGUGACUGUAUAGCUAGAGUACGGUAGAGGGGGAUGGAAUUCCGCGUGUAGCAGUGAAAUGCGUAGAUAUGCGGAGGAACACCGAUGGCGAAGGCAAACCCCUGGACCUGUACUGACGCUCAUGCACGAAAGCGUGGGGAGCAAACAGGAUUAGAUACCCCCGUAGUCCCUGUCUCUUAUAC